Molecule: ribosomal RNA, 345 nt
Filed under: Cambarus cf. deweesae Dripping Spring
Lineage: Eukaryota; Metazoa; Arthropoda; Malacostraca; Decapoda; Cambaridae
Description: partial 16S large subunit ribosomal RNA
Source: RNAcentral
ACAAGAAAUAAUCUGUCUUAGAUUAAUAUAUUGAAUUUAACUUUUAAGUGAAAAGGCUUAAAUAAUCUGAAGGGACGAUAAGACCCUAUAAAACUUUAUAUUGAAAAGUGAUGGGUAUGAUUUGUUUAAAAGGUUAUUACUUUAAAGUAUUUGGUUGGGGUGACAAGAAUAUAAUAGAAAGUAACUGUUUUUUUUUUUUACAAUGAUGUUUGAGUUAAUGAUCCUAGAAUGGAUUAAAGAUUAAGUUACUUUAGGGAUAACAGCGUAAUUUUCUUUAAGAGUUCUUAUCGAUAAGAGAGUUUGCGACCUCGAUGUUGAAUUAAAGGUUCUUUAUGGAGUAGAGAC